AGAUGGCUAGGGUGUGGGUGAGGGGCAAAGGCAGGCUGAAAACACUGGAGAGACAGGCCCAGCUCUGCGCAAGGGCACACACCUCCUUCCUUUACACACUCAAUACAAGCUGUAAAUCCUUCUUUCGCAGGUCAGGGCAUAACCUGGACCAAACGGGAAGUUUAAGGCAAAAUAAAAGCAGGGCAUUAACUUGGACCAACCGGGAAAUUUAAGGCAGCCUCUCUGAACUAAAUAGUUUAAAAAUCUGUCCAUUUAGUAGUAACCGCAAAGUUUGGCCUAGAGACUAAAACAUCUGCUUCCUGAUUUGGGGGUGGAGAUGAAGGGGAGUGUAAGGUAGAAAACGGCGGGAAAUGAAGACCUAAAGAAAGAAAGAACAGGCUUGGGGGAGGGUAAGAGGCACCGCAAGAAGCCAACGAAUGACACCGAGGCUGAGGCGCGUGCGCCAGCCCUCCACAUGCGCAGGCGGACGCCUGGUGUUCUCGCGGGAAAGAACCGUUGCGCCCGACUUUGCGCGGAGGUAGGAGGGGGAAGUGGAGGCGGGAGUGAAGUCUCGCGAGAAGAGUCGGUUGCCGUAGCAGAGCCCUCUAGCUGUGUGUGUCUGAGGCUCGGCCGCCUGAGCCGCGGACGGUUUGCUGAGCCCGUUAGUGCGCCCGGCCGAGACACGCCGCCGCCAUGUCCCGCUACCUGCGUCCCCCCAACACGUCUCUGUUCGUCAGGAACGUGGCCGACGACACCAGGUCUGAAGACUUGCGGCGUGAAUUUGGUCGUUAUGGUCCUAUAGUUGAUGUGUAUGUUCCACUUGAUUUCUACACUCGCCGUCCAAGAGGAUUUGCUUAUGUUCAAUAUCCUUUCUUCAGAUGGCUGAUUAGUGAGGGGUGUUGAAGUUUGAAAUUCAAGUUUAUAGAAUGUAAAGCUGUACAGUUAUGGCGACCCCAAAGAGAAAGCAUGAAAGAACCUUUAGAGUAGAGUUCAACACUUAAGGCAAGUAGACAAGCCAAAGACCUCUUAAGGAUCAGGCUUGAAGAGAAGGGAGAGUUUGGGAAAAGAAAAAAUAAAGAAAAGCUGGAAGAAGGACAAGCCUAAUGGGAGACAAAGCCUCGCUUUAUCUACAAAAGGGGGAAAAGGUUGUUUUUCAAAGUUAAAGAUAAAGCCAUCUGUCAUAUUUGGCCAAGCAUCUCAUGACAAGUCCUUCUGACAAGCACUUAAAGAGUUAAAGGUCAAGAUGAAGUUGAAUGAUGGCCAAGAUUAAAGGAGUCAUACCUGAUACGCUUUACAUAAUUUGGAUAGAAAGUGGAUUUGUGGACGGCAGAUUGAAAUACAGUUUGCCCAGGGGGAUCGAAAGACACCAAAUCAGAUGAAAGCCAAGGAAGGGAGGAAUGUGUACAGUUCUUCACGCUAUGAUGAUUAUGACAGAUACAGACGUUCUAGAAGCCGAAGUUAUGAAAGGAGGAGAUCAAGAAGUCGGUCUUUUGAUUACAACUAUAGAAGAUCGUAUAGUCCUAGAAACAGUAGACCGACUGGAAGACCACGGCGUAGCAGAAGCCAUUCCGACAAUGAUAGACCAAACUGCAGCUGGAAUACCCAGUACAGUUCUGCUUACUACACUUCAAGAAAGAUCUGAAAGCGGAAAAAGAACCAAAGAAGGGCAGUUCAAGCGACCAAAGGGUGGGUGGAAGGUGCUGCAGUAUGAAUACUGUACGAAUAUUUUGACUCUGGUCUGAAAAGAUAAAAGAAUGUUAUCGAAAACUACAUGGAAUAAUUGAAGUCCCUUCAAGUUUGAAAGUAAGCAUUUUAGGACAAAUAAAAGGAAAUUCAACUUUGUACUUGUGGAAACUAAUCCCUAAAUAUGAAUAGGUUUAUAUUGAUUCAUGGGUAACAGGUCCAUAAUAAAUUAUUGGAAACUAGGAUGUCUGAAUAUCAAGGAAGACAGCCAUAGUCUCUUACAGUGCCUCUGUUGGUCUGUCUCAAACUGAAUUGGGUGGGAAAAGGUAUGGUCCAAUAUAAAAGUUCCAUUUUUGCCAUUAUUGGCAAAUCUUGCCUUUGUUUAUUUUGGUGCCAGUGUUUUCUGCUUAAUCAUUUGCUUUGUUGGCAUCUGUGUUUAUUUACUUGUACACCACAUGCAGUUUACAUCUGUCUUAACUACUCCUUCCCAGGUAAAUUCCAAUUAUAUUUGACAUCCAGCUAAGAGGGCCCGUCUCUUCUCACCUCUUUCCUAGUCAGUAUAUUCAGCAAAUAUUUAUUGAGCCCUUACUGUGGGCAAAUCAUUGUACUGGAUAAUUGAGAAAAAUAGAUAAUUCCCUUAUUCAGUAAAUGUCUACUGAGCACAAUCUAGUGAAUCAUUACAGUAUGGCCUCAUUGUUUUGUUUGAGGUGUGUUAUUCAUAACAAUAUUUUACACCAUUCGUAUCAAUGUAAUUAUAGAACACAAUAUACAAUCAAGGAUAAGUAAUUGUGUGGUUAUCUGCCAUUUAAAAGUAUCCAGUAUUUGAUCCCAUUAUUAGAAAUAAUGAAAAAAUGAUUUCUUUUAAUCUGUAAUAAACUGGUUUAUUGUGCAGUGACUGUAAUAUACUAGAGUUAUAAUAAAUUGUUUACUCUGCCUCACCAAACACAUGCUAGGAUAUAACCCCCAAAAUAAGUAUUUAACUUUGCAUUAGAUAUAAAGGAGACUGGGUGCUAUAAUUAGAUUAUUUUGAGGCAGACAGAGAGCUGUUAUCCUAACUGAUUUAGUAUGUUCUGUAAUUGAGAAAAUGUUCACCAAAUUAUACUUUUUAGUGAUUUACAUGUACAUUUUAUAGGGGACAUGUUCUGUGUAUAGCGAAUAAAUAACUUUUAUAGUAUCACAAAA
RNAcentral lists this small RNA (2844 nucleotides) under Pan troglodytes (chimpanzee). RNAcentral describes it as "processed transcript". Lineage: Eukaryota; Metazoa; Chordata; Mammalia; Primates; Hominidae. The record is from RNAcentral.